This 679-nucleotide long non-coding RNA is filed under the name Rattus norvegicus (Norway rat). RNAcentral describes it as "long non-coding RNA NONRATT026194". The record is from RNAcentral. Lineage: Eukaryota; Metazoa; Chordata; Mammalia; Rodentia; Muridae.
GGGCCUGUCCGACAGAGGCUGGCACCUGGGCACGGUCUGGUGGCUGGCAGGAGCCCUCUUACCCAGCCAGGGCAGGGGACAUCAUUUUCACUUGCUGGCUUUUGAGAAAGUGACCCUGUCCUCCCGUUCCUGGCUUGUACCCACCGGUGGAGAUGAUAGAGAACAGAGAAGAUAGAAAACACUGAUGAAGUCCGCUGCCGCAGCUGGCUGGGAGUGAACCUGGAUGCCCCGGAGGGACACCUGCCCCCAGGAAAGUAAGCACCUGUCGUGUGUAUCAGAAGACCCCCUACUGCCUCACACACAGUCACUGGCCUCUUCUUGACAACUUCCCCAGGUGACUCUGAGAACUCAAGGACCAUGUCCAGCUCAGCCCUGCCCUGGAUUCACAUUGACAGUCCCUGUCAGAGACCUGAACCCUUGGCCGUGUGAGUUGCAUCUCUCCUAAGACCUAACCACACUACAAGAGAUCAGAAGCAGCACAUCCCAGAGAUCCCAUAAUGAUGCCAUCCAGGCCUGCAAUACAGCCCACGCUUUGGUCACUGCCAUAUUGAUAGUACAUUCCAGCUCCUCGAGGUCGGAAACUGGCGUGUGUUCUGGGAGCCGGGAGCGGCUGGUUAACUCUGCUACCCCUUAAAAAAGCCGAGGCGGGGGUUCCAAGUAAAGUCGGGAAAGGUGUGGG